This 64-nucleotide transfer RNA is filed under the name Bemisia tabaci. Its description in RNAcentral is "tRNA-Thr". The record is from RNAcentral. Lineage: Eukaryota; Metazoa; Arthropoda; Insecta; Hemiptera; Aleyrodidae.
AUUUUAAUAGUUUAUUAAAAAUAUUGAUUUUGUAAUUCGAUGAAAUCUAUUUAGAUUUAAAAUA